GAUGAACGCUGGCGGCGUGCCUAAUACAUGCAAGUCGAGCGAACAGACGUGGAGCUUGCUCCUCUGACGUUAGCGGCGGACGGGUGAGUAACACGUGGAUAACCUACCUAUAAGACUGGGAUAACUUCGGGAAACCGGAGCUAAUACCGGAUAAUAUAUUGAACCGCAUGGUUCAAUAGUGAAAGACGGUUUUGCUGUCACUUAUAGAUGGAUCCGCGCCGCAUUAGCUAGUUGGUAAGGUAACGGCUUACCAAGGCAACGAUGCGUAGCCGACCUGAGAGGGUGAUCGGCCACACUGGAACUGAGACACGGUCCAGACUCCUACGGGAGGCAGCAGUAGGGAAUCUUCCGCAAUGGGCGAAAGCUUGACGGAGCAACGCCGCGUGAGUGAUGAAGGCCUUCGGAUCGUAAAACUCUGUUAUUAGGGAAGAACAAAUGUGUAAGUAACUAUGCACGUCUUGACGGUACCUAAUCAGAAAGCCACGGCUAACUACGUG
RNAcentral lists this ribosomal RNA (497 nucleotides) under uncultured bacterium. RNAcentral's name for it is "partial 16S ribosomal RNA". It matches the Rfam family "Bacterial small subunit ribosomal RNA", at positions 28 to 507 of the family's 1533-position model. The record is from RNAcentral.